RNAcentral lists this ribosomal RNA (262 nucleotides) under Bradyrhizobium sp. (ex Lupinus). RNAcentral's name for it is "partial 16S ribosomal RNA". It matches the Rfam family "Bacterial small subunit ribosomal RNA", at positions 46 to 334 of the family's 1533-position model. The record is from RNAcentral. Lineage: Bacteria; Pseudomonadati; Pseudomonadota; Alphaproteobacteria; Hyphomicrobiales; Nitrobacteraceae.
AGGCUUAACACAUGCAAGUCGAGCGGGCGUAGCAAUACGUCAGCGGCAGACGGGUGAGUAACGCGUGGGAACGUACCUUUUGGUUCGGAACAACACAGGGAAACUUGUGCUAAUACCGGAUAAGCCCUUACGGGGAAAGAUUUAUCGCCGAAAGAUCGGCCCGCGUCUGAUUAGCUAGUUGGUGAGGUAAUGGCUCACCAAGCGACGAUCAGUAGCUGGUCUGAGAGGAUGAUCACCACAUUGGGACUGAGACACGGCCCAA